Non-coding RNA from Rattus norvegicus (Norway rat), 69 nucleotides. The record is from Rfam. NCBI's taxonomy places the organism in Eukaryota, Metazoa, Chordata, Mammalia, Rodentia, Muridae.
GGGGAUUUAGCUCAGCGGUAGAGCACUUGCCUAGUGAGCAUAAGGCCCUGGGUUCGGUCCCCAGCUCCG